AAACUACAGUAGCUGGUUCUUAAAGUGUUUCAGGGGGGUUCACUAUGGAAAGGAACUUUUAACAUACAAGUAGAGUAAACAACAGACCCCUUUUCCAGUUACAGAAAAAGAGGUAAAUAAUUAAGGAAAGAAAUAGAUCUGAAAGGGCAGUGGUAGGAAGGCACUUUCCAACAGAUGCAGCAGCCAUUUCCAAAUACUAAUAACUCUUUGUCUCCAUCUAAACAAAGGAGGGUGAAAGACAGAUGCCACAUCCAUACCUAGAUUUCCCAGGAGAAAAAUGGAAGAGAAAUUAGGACAGACCAGAUGUUCAAAGGAUUAACAUUAUUGAAGAGUAACCGAAACACAGGAGGAGCUGUCAUUGCUCAGGUUCAGUAAUCGCAAGAAAAGAAGAGUCCAAACUGACGCAGAACUUCUCCCAAAGCUGCCUUCAGAACAGUGCACAUACAUGUUACAUCCAUAAACUCCAACACCCAGAAAGACAAGUCAUCUGUUGCAGAAAAUGCUGCCUUCAUUUCCCAGCACCUUUAAGCGGUGGAGCUUACAGAGAGAACUGUUCUUUUUAUGCAGUAGUUCUUCAAAGCAUUUAGAAAUACAAGCGUGGGUGGGCAUCCAGUCCUGUGCUAGUAUUAGGAACAUUUUGCUUUUUAAAUAAUCUUUGUAACCUGCAUCUUAAAAGAGGGACAAGAAACCUCAGAGGCUUUCUACAUCUCUGCUCCAUUACUGUCCUGGCAGCAAGAGAAGAAUGAAGAUAGAAAGGAAAAUGAAACAAAGCUAAAGUUUGGGUGGAAAUGAAUUUUCCUCUGUCACAAACCAACAGCUGAAGUCAACUGCUUAUUUCACAAGGUGGAACAAACCUAAAACCACUCUGUUCCUUACAAGCACAGCGAGAACAUCUAUCAAUGUAUUUGUCAGUUUAACAAAAUACAAGCCAAAACUCUUCUUUCCAGAUUAUCGCCAACCCACAUGAGAUCACAAGGGAACUCCUCCUUUACCUUCUGUCAUGUUCAAAUGCAGAAUAUAAAGAUGGCCCCAUUUGUAGAAUUCACAACUGAAAUAGAUUCUCCACUCUUCCACACAUAAAUGAUCGUCCUUCCUCAUUUUCUAAUUCCAAAGACCCUUCUCCAACAUCAGACAGAUAAUUCUGUCAAAACCAAAACAUCAGGGAAGAUAAGAAGAUGAAAAUCUACCCUGGCCACUAAGAGACCACAGUGCAGCAGAACAGAUCUACUUGCAUUGAAGUGUUUUGAUGGUAUGUGCAAUACUUCUAUGCCACAUUCUAAGGACAGAGAUGAAGCUUUACUUCCAGAACUCUCCAAACCUGUUGCCACCAUACUGUUGAUCUGACAUUCAUUUCAAGCUGAUUAGUAUCACACAAAUCACAAGUGUUCAACUAUGUAAUGUUUUGGAAGUUAUUUUCCGCUACUUCUGUGGCAUUUUUACAACUGUCCAAGAGCACAGAUUGGGUUUUUGAAUACAAAAAUGAAUGAAACCAAACUUGAGAACUGUGUUAGAGUCAGUAGACCCCACUACUCAGUGACAGGGCAACCACCUUCAUUUGCAGAACUGAUAUGGCCUGGAUACUUCAAAUUCAUGAUACAUUGUCACCAGAAGAGCCUGAUUCUUCCUCUGUGACUCCCAAAACCAGUAUUUUGUCCUUUCUGUGGAGUAUUCAGAGUUUCAUGCUAUGAUCCCACCUCCCUCACAUAUUAAUUACACUUCCUGGUAUAUCUGGAUACUUUCCACCUCCCAAAGUCCACACUGCAAAAUAUUGGGUUUUUGGUCCACACACCUAAUUAAGGAAGAGAAGAAGGAAGAGGACCUGCAGACUAGGCAACACAUGAUAGAGCUGAUGCAACACGACAAUUAGGCUGUUGGCUGGUAUGCUCAGCUACUGGGCCAGCCAAAGAAGAGGAAAAAAGGCUGAACUCUUUAUUUCUUUCUCUUUCACCUCUUCCCAGCAUCAACUUUCACAAAAAACUUUUAAAACAUAAUGCUGAAAUCACUGCCCCUCCAUCAAAGCUGAUUCUGCCCAAAGAGCAAAAGAGAGAUCAGAGCAGUAGAUUAACAGAAGGACACAACAAUCAUAAGUUUGAUCUUUCGGCAAACAAGAGGGGUUUUUCCUAACCAAGGUUACUGCCCCAUGUCAGUAGCACCAAGAGCUUUCCAGAGAGGCCUUACUUACAGGGGAAAAGAGAAAAUAAAUCAGUAACAUAUAAAGAAAUCACAGCCAGUCUUUUUUUUUUAAACACUUUGACAAUUUCUAUUAAGUACAGGAUAAGGGAUGCUCUCCUGCUUGCAAGAAAAAGUUGUGUGAUGUUUCCUGUAUGUUUGCUUUUGAAGUGGACAACUAACUGCUCUAGUGCUUCUGAAGACUGGCCAGUACUGCAAUUCAAGAUGAGUAUUCUCAAUGGAAACAGUAAGUCAGACCUACUACUAAACAGUAAGUCAGACUUUAUAACUGAAAAAUAAGCUUAAUCUAAGUGUAAGAUCUCUUCCAGUCACUGAAUAAGAACCUGAAAGCUGGCCCUUUGCCAAAGAACAAAUGUAAAAUCGGGCUGCUAUUUGAUAGACCUAAGUAAGACAGAUCAGAAGCUUCUCAUAACUGAUACUCAGAAGGCUGGGCAGAAUCAAAGACACUUUACUUGUCUUUUAAGAAUUUGCUUUCACUUGUUUUGAGUCAUAAAUUCACAUCCUUCUCUUCAGUACUAUCAACUCAAUUAGCACACUGAGCCUACCUGUACAUACCGUGCCGUACAGGCAGCAAUAAGACCUAUGCAGCACUGCUCCAUGAACUAAAUGUCUACUGCUUGCCAGAAGCAAAACACUCUAGAAAUGUGGUCAAUUGGUGCAAAAGAAUCAGAAAGUCCUAAUCCUUAUUUUGAUUUGCAAAGUAAUUCUAUCUCAUCUGAGGUCUUGACCAGGAUUUUUUCAUCAUCUCUACAAUAUGGUAAAAAUGAUUUUAUUGGCUUGUUGUGAAAUUUAACAGUUUGUAAAGAACAGCAUAAGUAAUUACACUCUGCUUCUGUAGAGGAAUUUUGAUAUUAAGUGUUCACAAUGUAGGCCCAGAACAGGGGCUUUAGAUUGUUUCUCUUAGUACUUAAUAGCUGGUCACCUGAUUUUAGCAAACAUGAUUCUGAAGACAACAAGAAACAAUUUUAAAAGUAUUUUUAUUAAACAAACAAACAAACAAAAAUGAAGUGUAAAAAAACCCCCAAACAAACCAGUCCAUGCUGUACUCCAUAAAUUGGCCUUAGAAGACAAUCAAAACACUGAUCAAAUAUUUCUUAUUUACAGUUGAGAAAUAUAAAAUGCUAUAAAGGUCUACAAAGAUCACUUACUCCCUGCCAUCUGCAUUUGAGAAACCCUUUCAAUGAACUCACCUGGGACAGGAUGCCAGAGAAGGGAGAGCAGGUUGCUGUCAAGGGAAGUAGAGGCAAAAAGCAAUUGCUGUUUCCCACAGGGAAGCUGUUGGUCAGUAUGAAGUGCAGAUAUUCCACAUUUUGUAAUUACAGGUCAUGAUUUUUUGUCCUUUUUUUAUGAUCUUAAUACCAUUUUUCACAGUAUCUUUACACAUUUAUUAUAAUGGAAUUAAUCUGGUUGUAACAAACAAGCAUGUAUGAAUGUGUCAUUACUGUCUCUCCCAUCUGUAAUCAAAUUUGAGUAUCUCUUUCUAAGCAGUAUUUGACUACUUUGGAUUGCUCUCCUGGUUACCAGUGUUAACUAUUAUCAGCUGUCACAGGUGUUUUUUCCCUCCUCUCUCUUAUUUGUUUUUUGUUCAUUUGUUUUUGUUUUGGGUUGGUUGGUUGGGGUUUCUUUCAAAGCACGAAAAUAGUAACUUUCUCCUUUCUGUAACAAUAAUGCUAAGGGAUUACCUCCACUAAAGAUUCAGUAUGACCUGGUAACCUCACUGUGACAUUUCUGUCUUCCUUCCCAGGCAAUGUAACAAGAACUUAAGGCAACAGAACAGAUUCUCAUUAAAUUUGGUAGUGUUUAGCUGAAAGCAAUACCAAGGACAAGCUAGAUCCAGUGUUUUAAAGGAAAAAAAAAAAAAAAUAA
Molecule: long non-coding RNA, 4056 nt
Organism: Myiozetetes cayanensis
Lineage: Eukaryota; Metazoa; Chordata; Aves; Passeriformes; Tyrannidae
Exons: 2
Source: RefSeq, a predicted model, not a curated record